Hemicordylus capensis (graceful crag lizard) is the source of this 763-nucleotide long non-coding RNA. RefSeq lists it as uncharacterized. NCBI's taxonomy places the organism in Eukaryota, Metazoa, Chordata, Lepidosauria, Squamata, Cordylidae. The record is from RefSeq and is a predicted model, not a curated record. The transcript is spliced from 4 exons.
GGGCUGCAGUCCUGAGCUCCACUCCCCCACCCCCAGCUUCUUGAUACUACAGCUCCCAUCAUUCCCUAGCCCCAGUGGCCAAUAGUGAGGGAUUAUGGGAGGCGUGGUUCAGCAUCUUCUGCAAGAGGGCUGAAGUUCACCGUCCCGCAUGACCCCUCUACCCCGAGCUGCCGGCACAGAGCAACCAGGGACCGUCUUGCUCGGAAGGGAGGAAAGAACAGACAACACAACCAAAAGAGAACAACAUUGCAAGAUGCCAGUUGUGGUCCUGAUGCUUUCCCGCAGUCUCUGGGGGGCCUUCCAAGUACAUUGUGACUGACUGUGAAGGAGGCAAGCUCCCAAGAUGAGGUAAUAUUUCCAAACCAGCAGUGCCUAACUUGCUUGACACAGACUCGAAGCCCUCGAUACUUGCUGAAAUCAAGCAAACCUCAGUUAGGUUUCGUUUCUUUCAGUUAGCAGAAUCCAUAUUUAGCAUGAGAACCGCAAGCGCUGAAGGGGCAUGAUAGAGACCAGACUGACAUACUGCUUGCACAAGCUGAUUUAUGACCUAACGCCAGACCCUUUCCCAGACGAAAGGGGGAACUAACUUGAGUUAUGACCUAUGACAUAUAACUGUUUCUUUUUCUGUAACUUGUGUAAUUGUUUUCCUAAGGAGACUUUGGUAUAUAUAAUGUGCUACCUCUGUAUCAGUCCUUUGUCCUGUCUUGAGCACGAGCCGAGACAGCACCUUGCUUCUUAAGGGCAAAUAAAACUUUGAUUCUAA